Molecule: unclassified non-coding RNA, 423 nt
Filed under: Hevea brasiliensis (rubber tree)
Lineage: Eukaryota; Viridiplantae; Streptophyta; Magnoliopsida; Malpighiales; Euphorbiaceae
Source: RNAcentral
CGUCUCUUACACAAUGGCCCAGAUACCAUAUCGGAAUUGUUAGACGGGCACGUUGCGAAGAAGGAGAAAUCGCUGGAUGACGGGGAGGAAGAGCUGCUGAAUCGGCAGUGAUUCACCACCAACCGACGAGAGGCACUGCAUCUGUACCGAGACAUCCUUCGGGCAACCCGGUUCUUCAUGUGGCCCGAUUCUCGAGGUGUUUUGUGGAGAGAUUGUAUUGCAGGAGAACGCUAGGAAGGAGUUCGAAGAGGCACGGUUCGAGAAUUAUCCGGAAAUCUUGACCCGAUUGCUUAUCGGUGGCCGAGAUGCAGUGCAGUCUGCUCUUGAAAAACUCGCCGAGAAGCAGAGACAGCAGAUUGAGAAGGAACGUGGCCAUGGCGGAGGUGGCCGGUGAAUUGGUACUGUAUUUAAAUGUAAAUUUGA